This 857-nucleotide ribosomal RNA is filed under the name uncultured bacterium. RNAcentral's name for it is "bacterial SSU rRNA". It matches the Rfam family "Bacterial small subunit ribosomal RNA", at positions 21 to 901 of the family's 1533-position model. The record is from RNAcentral.
GGCUCAGGAUGAACGCUGGCGGCGUGCCUAAUCCAUGCAAGUCGAACGGUGAGAAGCAAUUCUCAUAGUGGCGAACGGGUGAGUAACGCGUUGAUGACCUGCCCCGAAGCGCGGGAUACCGGACCGAAAGGUCCGCUAAUACCGCAUGAUGUCACGGUCGUUAGAGAACCGUGAAGAAAGCCGAAAGGCACUUUGGGAGGGAUCUGCGUCCCAUCAGCUAGUUGGUGAGGUAGUGGCCCACCAAGGCGAUGACGGGUAGGGGACCUGAGAGGGUGACCCCCCACAAUGGAACUGAAACACGGUCCAUACACCUACGGGUGGCAGCAGGAGGGAGUAUUGGUAAUCUGGGAAACCGGGAACCAGCAACGCCGCGUGAGCGAUGAAGGCCUUCGGGUCGUAAAGCUCUUUUGGUCGGGACGAGGAAGGACGGUACCGGCCGAAUAAGCCUCGGCUAACUACGUGCCAGCAGCCGCGGUAAAACGUAGGAGGCGAGCGUUAUCCGGAUUUACUGGGUGUAAAGCGCAUGCAGGCGGUACAUUAAGUUGGGUGUGAAAGCUCCUGGCUCAACUGGGAGAGGUCGCUCAAGACUGAUGAACUGGAGCGUGGUAAGGGAAGGUGGAAUUCCGGGUGUAGUGGUGAAAUGCGUAGAUAUCCGGAGGAACACCAGUGGCGAAGGCGGCCUUCUGGACCACGACUGACGCUCAGAUGCGAAAGCUAGGGAAGCAAACGGGAUUAGAGACCCCGGUAGUCCUAGCCGUAAACGAUGUGAACUUGGCGGUAGGUGGGUAAAACCAUUUACUGCCGUAGCAAACGCGAUAAGUUCACCACCUGGGGACUACCGCCGCAAGGUUAAAACU